UAGAGUUUGAUCAUGGCUCAGGAUGAACGCUGGCGGCGUGCUUAACACAUGCAAGUCGAACGGACUCAUAUUGAAACCUAGUGAUUUAUGAGUUAGUGGCGGACGGGUGAGUAACGCGUGGAUAACCUGCCGUAUACCGGGGGAUAACACUUAGAAAUAGGUGCUAAUACCGUAUAAGCGCACGGCUCCGCAUGGGGCAGUGUGAAAAACUCCGGUGGUAUACGAUGGAUCCGCGUCUGAUUAGCUAGUUGGCGGGGUAACGGCUCACCAAGGCAGCGAUCAGUAGCCGGCCUGAGAGGGUGGACGGCCACAUUGGGACUGAGACACGGCCCAAACUCCUACGGGAGGCAGCAGUGGGGAAUAUUGCACAAUGGGGGAAACCCUGAUGCAGCGACGCCGCGUGAGUGAAGAAGUAUCUCGGUACGUAAAGCUCUAUCAGCAGGGAAGAAAAUGACGGUACCUGACCAAGAAGCCCCGGCUAACUACGUGCCAGCAGCCGCGGUAAUACGUAGGGGGCAAGCGUUAUCCGGAUUUACUGGGUGUAAAGGGAGCGUAGACGGCAGCACAAGUCUGGAGUGAAAUCCCGGGGCUUAACCCCGGAACUGCUUUGGAAACUGUGCGGCUGGAGUGCAGGAGGGGUAAGCGGAAUUCCUAGUGUAGCGGUGAAAUGCGUAGAUAUUAGGAGGAACACCGGUGGC
RNAcentral lists this ribosomal RNA (698 nucleotides) under uncultured bacterium. RNAcentral's name for it is "bacterial SSU rRNA". It matches the Rfam family "Bacterial small subunit ribosomal RNA", at positions 1 to 716 of the family's 1533-position model. The record is from RNAcentral.